GGAUGUGAGGGCGAUCUGGCUGAGACAUCUGUCACCCCAUUGAUCGCAGGGUUGAUUCAGCUGAUCUGGCUGGCUAGGCGGGUGUCCCCUUCCUCCCUCACCGCUCCACGUGCGUCCCUCUCGAAGCUGCGCGCUCGGUCGAAGAGGACGACCUUCCCCGAUAGAGGAGGACCUUUCUUCGGUCAAGGGUAUACCAGUAGCUGCGCUCCCCUGCUAGAACCUCCAAACAAGCUCUCAAGGCACAUAAUUGUUUAUAGCAGCAUAGUUCACAAUAACCAAGUUUU
Molecule: small nuclear RNA, 284 nt
Filed under: Spermophilus dauricus (Daurian ground squirrel)
Lineage: Eukaryota; Metazoa; Chordata; Mammalia; Rodentia; Sciuridae
Description: 7SK RNA (ENSSDAG00000005927.1)
Rfam family: 7SK RNA
About the family: 7SK was discovered as an abundant small nuclear RNA in the mid-70s but a possible function has only recently been suggested.
Source: Rfam by way of RNAcentral